UACGGAGGGCGCAAGCGUUGUUCGGAAUUACUGGGCGUAAAGGGCGUGUAGGCGGUCUGGUAAGUCGGUUGUGAAAUCCCCGGGCUCAACCCGGGAACUGCAUCCGAAACUGCUGGGCUAGAGUUCCGGAGAGGAAGGCAGAAUUCCCAAUGUAGGGGUGAAAUCCGUAGAUAUUGGGAGGAAUACCAGUGGCGAAGGCGGCCUUCUGGACGGUGACUGACGCUGAGACGCGAAAGCGUGGGGAGCAAACAGG
This 253-nucleotide ribosomal RNA is filed under the name uncultured bacterium. Its description in RNAcentral is "partial 16S ribosomal RNA". It matches the Rfam family "Bacterial small subunit ribosomal RNA", at positions 524 to 776 of the family's 1533-position model. The record is from RNAcentral.